Molecule: long non-coding RNA, 262 nt
Filed under: Homo sapiens (human)
Lineage: Eukaryota; Metazoa; Chordata; Mammalia; Primates; Hominidae
Description: non-protein coding lnc-ZNF263-5:1
Source: RNAcentral
GCAGAAGCCUGGUCUCCCCGUUCGGAGCCGGCAGUCUGCGCUUGAGACGUUAAGACUUGAGACAGGCCAGAGGAGCUCUCAGGGCCGGAGGGAGGCCAGGACGGCUGUAGCCUCUCUGUGGUUCUGCCUGGAAGACGGAAGGCAGGUGGUUGGCUCUAGUCAUCCACGACGGGCUGGCACCUCUCCAGCUGCGGCCAGUCUAACCCCAGGGCCUGCUGGGAAAUGUAGUUCGAAUGCAAACAACCAAUGGACGACCGUCAGG